This 288-nucleotide long non-coding RNA is filed under the name Pelobates cultripes (western spadefoot toad). Lineage: Eukaryota; Metazoa; Chordata; Amphibia; Anura; Pelobatidae. The record is from RNAcentral.
GUACCGCCUAGUGAUAACUUCACUGGCCACUCCUCAGAUGGCUGUUAGAGAUCCUUCCUGGGUCAUGGCUGCCUAAAAUGCAUCCAAACAUUCAGUAUCAACUCCCUCUGCAUGCAGACACUGAACUUUCCUCAUAGAGAUUCAUUGAUUCAAUUCAUCUCUAUGAGGAGAUGCUGAUUGGCCAGGGCUGUGUUUGAAUCAUGCUGGCUCUGCCCCUGAUCUGCCUCCUUAUCAGUCUCAGCCAAUCCUAUGGGGAAGCAUUGUGAUUGGAUCAGGCCACCACUUCUG